Molecule: ribosomal RNA, 476 nt
Filed under: uncultured organism
Description: partial 16S ribosomal RNA
Rfam family: Bacterial small subunit ribosomal RNA
Source: RNAcentral
CACUCCUGCGGGAGGCAGCAGUGGGGAAUUUUGGACAAUGGGCGAAAGCCUGAUCCAGCAAUGCCGCGUGAGUGAAGAAGGCCUUCGGGUUGUAAAGCUCUUUUGUCAGGGAAGAAACGGUGAAAGCUAAUAUCUUUUGCUAAUGACGGUACAUGAAGAAUAAGCACCGGCUAACUACGUGCCAGCAGCCGCGGUAAUACGUAGGGUGCAAGCGUUAAUCGGAAUUACUGGGCGUAAAGCGUGCGCAGGCGGUUUUGUAAGUCUGAUGUGAAAUCCCCGGGCUCAACCUGGGAAUUGCAUUGGAGACUGCAAGGCUAGAAUCUGGCAGAGGGAGGUAGAAUUCCACGUGUAGCAGUGAAAUGCGUAGAUAUGUGGAGGAACACCGAUGGCGAAGGCAGCCCCCUGGGUCAAGAUUGACGCUCAUGCACGAAAGCGUGGGGAGCAAACAGGAUUAGAAACCCCGGUAGUCCCAUGAU